GCACGCCGGACGACGUCCGCGAGAAGUCCAAUGACCCUUAUCAUUUAGAGGAAGGAGAAGUCGUAACAAGGUUUCCGUAGGUGAACCUGCGGAAGGAUCAUUGUCGAUGCCCCUCCCCCGAACAGAACGACCCGCGGACCGGUCAAAGAGGACACCGCCGCCGCCGAGGCCGCGCGCCCGGACGGACGGCACAACAACAACCCACCCCCGGCGCCAGUCGCGCCAAGGAAACGGACAGAACGCGAGCGCGCCCCCGGGCACCCGACCCACGGGAUCCCGUCCUGGGGGACGCUCGCGCCGGCGUCAUGCGAAGCAUGCGCGGAACAGAACGACUCUCGGCAUCGGAUAUCUCGGCUCUCGCAUCGAUGAAGAACGUAGCGAAAUGCGAUACUUGGUGCGAAUUGCAGAAUCCCGCGAACCAUCGAGUCUUUGAACGCAAGUUGCGCCCGAAGCCAUCCGGCGGAGGGCACGCCUGCCUGGGCGUCACGCAACGUCGCCCCCGCCCCACGGCGGGCGGGGCGGAGGAUGGCCUCCCGCGAGCACGGGUCUCGCGGCCGGCCGAAACACGAGCGCGCGAGGGCAGUCGCCACGAUCCACGGUGGGAGGAGCGGAACUCGCUCGGGACCCGGCCGUGCGCGGGCUGCCGGAGAGCGACGCCACAAGACCCACGCGCCGCGCCACGGGCGCCCCGGACGCGACCCCAGGUCAGGCGGGGACACCCGCUGAGUUUAAGCAUAUCAAUAAGCGGAGGAA
Molecule: ribosomal RNA, 753 nt
Filed under: Delonix elata
Lineage: Eukaryota; Viridiplantae; Streptophyta; Magnoliopsida; Fabales; Fabaceae
Description: eukaryotic LSU rRNA
Rfam family: 5.8S ribosomal RNA (bases 331-486)
Source: RNAcentral